RNAcentral lists this unclassified non-coding RNA (609 nucleotides) under uncultured marine bacterium. RNAcentral's name for it is "partial contains 16S ribosomal RNA, 16S-23S ribosomal RNA intergenic spacer, and 23S ribosomal RNA". The stretch from base 497 to 609 matches the Rfam family "Bacterial large subunit ribosomal RNA", at positions 1 to 113 of the family's 2925-position model. The record is from RNAcentral.
ACCCUUGACCACGGUAUAGUCAGCGACUGGGGUGAAGUCGUAACAAGGUAGCCGUAGGGGAACCUGCGGCUGGAUUACCUCCUUUCUAAGGAUGAGUGAAAGUAAAAUUUCACUCUAAAUAAUAUACAUCGGUAAUGUUGACCGUCCUCAUUUCUCUUCUUAAAGUAAUGUUUCCUUCUUGUAGGGCCGGUAGCUCAGUUGGUUAGAGCACACCCUUGAUAAGGGUGGGGUCGAAAGUUCGAGUCUUUCUCGGCCCACCAAUAACCUAAAUGGGGGAUUAGCUCAUCUGGGAGAGCGCCUGAUUUGCAUUCAGGAGGUAGCAGGUUCGAUCCCUGUAUCCUCCACCAGGAAACAUUUAGUUAUUAAAACUGUAAAUAAAAAUAAUUUAUAUCAAUAUCUAUAUCCGAACAUUAAAAGUUAUUAUUUAAUGUUCAAAAUAAAAAUUUGAUCACAACAUAGAUAAAUUUUCUGUUAAAAGAAUUUUUUUCUGUGCAUAAAUCAAGCGUUUAAGGGCGUGUAGUGGAUGCCUUGGCACUGAAAGCCGAUGAAGGACGUGAUAUACUGCGAUAAGUUUCGGGGAGCUGUAUGUAAGCUUUGAUCCGAAAAUUU